RNAcentral lists this ribosomal RNA (433 nucleotides) under uncultured bacterium. Its description in RNAcentral is "partial 16S ribosomal RNA". It matches the Rfam family "Bacterial small subunit ribosomal RNA", at positions 29 to 507 of the family's 1533-position model. The record is from RNAcentral.
AACGAACGCUGGCGGCAUGCCUAACACAUGCAAGUCGAACGAGACCUUCGGGUCUAGUGGCGCACGGGUGCGUAACGCGUGGGAACCUGCCCUUAGGUUCGGAAUAACUCCCCGAAAGGGGUGCUAAUACCGGAUAAUGUCUUCGGACCAAAGAUUUAUCGCCUUUGGAUGGGCCCGCGUUGGAUUAGCUAGUUGGUAGGGUAAAAGCCUACCAAGGCGACGAUCCAUAGCUGGUCUGAGAGGAUGAUCAGCCACACUGGGACUGAGACACGGCCCAGACUGCUACGGGAGGCAGCAAUGGGGAAUAUUGGACAAUGGGCGAAAGCCUGAUCCAGCAAUGCCGCGUGAGUGAUGAAGGCCUUAGGGUUGUAAAGCUCUUUUACCCGGGAUGAUAAUGACAGUACCGGGAGAAUAAGCUCCGGCUAACUCCGUG